GUGAAUCAUCGAAUCUUUGAACGCAAAUUGCGCUCGAGGCCUCGGCCAAGAGCAUGUCUGUCUCAGCGUCGGCUAACCCCCCUCACUCCCCUCCCUUUGUUUCAAGGAGCCUGGGGCAGUGGAUCUGGCCGUCCCGGUGAACAGCCGGGUCGACCGAAGCACAGAGGCUUAGUGCUUGGACCCCUCGAAGGGCAACAGCUUGGUAGGUGGCUUAACGCUGCAUGCCGCUGGAGCCUUGGAGCCCAAGCCCGUUUGGCCUGCAGGAAACUCUUCAAUCAUUCGACCUGAGAUCAGGCAAGA
Molecule: unclassified non-coding RNA, 300 nt
Filed under: uncultured fungus
Lineage: Eukaryota; Fungi
Description: sequence contains 5.8S rRNA gene, ITS2
Rfam family: 5.8S ribosomal RNA (bases 1-71)
Source: RNAcentral